UCUAAAAAUAUAAAAUGUAAAAUUUUUUUGUGUAUAAUAAAGUGAAAGUGCUUUCUGGAUAUUAAGUUAUAAGUCAACUCACAAUGGUGUAAUUAAGUAAAAGGAUUUAAGUUUCAAGAUGCAUUAAUUGUAUUUUUUUGGAUUUCAUCAACUUUUACACCUUUGAGAUUAUUUUUAUGAUCGUAACUGUGUUGGAUAAUAUAAGGGGAUCCGAGCUAGGUGGAUUUCCCAACGUAAACAUCGACUGGAUCCGAGCUAGGUGGAUCCAGGUGCUUCGAUGGACCCCAACUGCAAGUCAACGAACAAUGGACCGAUUUGUUGUAGUGUUGCAGUUCUUUUAUUUUUUUCAUGUUUUGUCUUUUGGGUAUUCAAUUGUAUAAAAAUAUGGUAUUCUUUUUAAACUUUUGAAAAAGUCAACUUUUAAUACAACCAAAAUAAUAUUGGCUAAGAUGAGGAAGAAGGAAUUUGCCUUAGAAAAUUGCCCUUUUCAAUUUGAGACAUUCCGGGAAACCGUGCAAGAAGAUGCAAUUAACGAAAAAAUAAAUUUUUAAGAAUACCUUAAAAAAAGAGGAGAAAGGUGAAUUCACACUACACGAGGAUAUUUCUGAAAUAAAUAGUUAUAAUUAAUUUUUUUUAUACUUAAUAGUUGAUUUUUAUUUAUUAAAAAGAAGAAAAAUUUGUAAAUU
Condylostylus longicornis is the source of this 686-nucleotide long non-coding RNA. RefSeq lists it as uncharacterized. Lineage: Eukaryota; Metazoa; Arthropoda; Insecta; Diptera; Dolichopodidae. The record is from RefSeq and is a predicted model, not a curated record. The transcript has 3 exons.